UACGUAGGGGGCGAGCGUUGUCCGGAUUUAUUGGGCGUAAAGGGCGUGUAGGCGGCCAGGUAGGUCUGCUGUGAAAACUCGAGGCUCAACCUCGAGACGUCGGCGGAAACCAUCUGGCUAGAGUCCGGAAGAGGAGAGUGGAAUUCCUGGUGUAGCGGUGAAAUGCGCAGAUAUCAGGAAGAACACCCGUGGCGAAGGCGGCUCUCUGGGACGGUACUGACGCUGAGACGCGAAAGCGUGGGGAGCGAACAGG
This 253-nucleotide ribosomal RNA is filed under the name uncultured bacterium. RNAcentral describes it as "partial 16S ribosomal RNA". It matches the Rfam family "Bacterial small subunit ribosomal RNA", at positions 524 to 776 of the family's 1533-position model. The record is from RNAcentral.